CGUAGGGGGCAAGCGUUGUCCGGAAUCAUUGGGCGUAAAGCGCGUGUAGGCGGCUCGGUAAGUCUGCUGUGAAAGUCCAGGGCUCAACCCUGGGAUGCCGGUGGAUACUGUCGAGCUCGAGUCCGGAAGAGGCGAGUGGAAUUCCUGGUGUAGCGGUGAAAUGCGCAGAUAUCAGGAGGAACACCAAUGGCGAAGGCAGCUCGCUGGGACGUGACUGACGCUGAGACGCGAAAGCGUGGGGAGCAAACAGGAUUAGAUACCCUGGUAGUCCACGCCGUAAACGAUGGGCACUAGGUGUGGGGGGUGUCGACUCCCUCCGUGCCGAAGCUAACGCAUUAAGUGCCCCGCCUGGGGAGUACGGCCGCAAGGCUAA
RNAcentral lists this ribosomal RNA (373 nucleotides) under uncultured organism. RNAcentral's name for it is "bacterial SSU rRNA". It matches the Rfam family "Bacterial small subunit ribosomal RNA", at positions 526 to 897 of the family's 1533-position model. The record is from RNAcentral.